AGCAUGGGUAGCGAACAGGAUAGAUACCCGGUAGUCCAUGCCGUAAACGAUGAAUGCUAUGUGUUGGAGGGUUUCCGCCCUUCAGUGCCGCAGCUAACGCAUUAAGCAUUCCGCCUGGGGAGUACGACCGCAAGGUUGAAACUCAAAGGAAUUGACGGGGGCCCGCACAAGCGGUGGAGCAUGUGGUUUAAUUCGAAGCAACGCGAAGAACCUUACCAGGUCUUGACAUCUUUUGAUCACCUGAGAGAUCAGGUUUCCCCUUCGGGGGCAAAAUGACAGGUGGUGCAUGGUUGUCGUCAGCUCGUGUCGUGAGAUGUUGGGUUAAGUCCCGCAACGAGCGCAACCCUUAUGACUAGUUGCCAGCAUUUAGUUGGGCACUCUAGUAAGACUGCCGGUGACAAACCGGAGGAAGGUGGGGAUGACGUCAAAUCAUCAUGCCCCUUAUGACCUGGGCUACACACGUGCUACAAUGGAUGGUACAACGAGUUGCGAGACCGCGAGGUCAAGCUAAUCUCUUAAAGCCAUUCUCAGUUCGGACUGUAGGGCUGCAACUCGCCUACACGAAGGUCGGGAAUCGCUAGUAAUCGCGGGAUCAGCACGCCGCGGGUGAAUACGUUCCCGGGCCUUGUACACACCGCCCGUCACACCAUGAGAGUUUGUAACACCCGAAGCCGGGUGGCGUAACCCUUUU
RNAcentral lists this ribosomal RNA (691 nucleotides) under Lacticaseibacillus casei. Its description in RNAcentral is "bacterial SSU rRNA". It matches the Rfam family "Bacterial small subunit ribosomal RNA", at positions 758 to 1444 of the family's 1533-position model. Lineage: Bacteria; Bacillati; Bacillota; Bacilli; Lactobacillales; Lactobacillaceae. The record is from RNAcentral.